GUUGAUUCUCACAUUGUGGCGAUGGGAAAACAGAGAACAGGAACCAGAACGCGCCUGUUUCCUGCCAGAGUCUUACUGAGAUCCCCCCAAGAAACUGAAACGUUUUGCAAACCCCACUCUGCCUUCCGAAGCAGAAGGUGAAAGUAGACCCCCCCAAAAGAAGCCAAGCAGCACCACCAGCAUCCCACCAGACCCAGAGCCGCCUGGGCAUCGGUGCAGUGACCACAGAAGGCACAGACCCUGGAGCCGUCACCACCACUAGGAGUCGGGCCCAGGAGGGGGCCCAACUCUGCUGGGUCAUAGGUGCCAGGAGCGCAGGAGGUGCCUUCCCCAAAUGGAAGUCGUUUGUUGGCACUCUCAAGCCUGGAAGUGUUGUUUCUGCAUGCCACCUAUUCCCACCACGAACCACGGACUCCGAGCUUACUGCACAAGGAGGAAAGGGGUCAGGGCCGUGGGGGUGCUUCACCUGUGCCUGCUGCGCGAGACUGGCCCAGGCUGCUGGCGUGGACCCGGCCGCUCAGCACCUGGUGGGUCACAUGCUGGGCCCCCAGGUGCCAAGCACUGCUCAGAGGCACAGGUGUCCUCCCUCCACCUCCCUGCUCCUGUCCCCCUCCUGCUGCAGGGACCGUCUCUGUGAACCUCCUGCCUUGGACGGUGUGACAGUCCUUCUCCAUCUGAACCGAAAGGACAUGGUGAGCAGCGGAGCCGAGAGGGUGCUCAGGCCGGGGCGGGGCGGAGGCCAGAAGCAGUCAGAGCUUCCAGCCUGCCCGAGGGACGGCGGGACCCGCGGCCACCUCACCCCCGACGUCUCUGCCCCGGGCGCCUGCCGAGGGCGACACCUGUGCCCGCCGCGACGCAGCCGCCAGCGGGGACAAGGGCAGGCGGCCGGCCUGGGUGACGCCCGACGUGGGACGGCAGCUCGCGCUCCUGACCGCGAAAGAGCCCGGGACCUGCUUGAAGAUCAAAAAAAGUAAAUUAACAGGCAGGAAAAUGUGACCAAGAGAGCUGGUAACCUGACUAUGAUUUUCUGUCACUUUUGCUUCACGGAACUCGUUUCUGCACAGGGGCACGCGGGGGGGCGGGAGGUAGGCACCAUGCCUGCGUCACGCACACGCGCACACGGCCCCCCGUGCCUGCGUCACGCACACGCGCACACGGCCCCCCCGUGCCUGCGUCACGCACACGCGCACACGGCCCCCCCCGGCCUGCGUCACGCACACGCGCACACGGCCCCCCCCGUGCCUGC
RNAcentral lists this long non-coding RNA (1246 nucleotides) under Vulpes vulpes (red fox). RNAcentral's name for it is "lncRNA (ENSVVUG00000018793.1)". Lineage: Eukaryota; Metazoa; Chordata; Mammalia; Carnivora; Canidae. The record is from RNAcentral.